Molecule: non-coding RNA, 391 nt
Organism: Misgurnus anguillicaudatus (oriental weatherfish)
Lineage: Eukaryota; Metazoa; Chordata; Actinopteri; Cypriniformes; Cobitidae
Source: RefSeq, a predicted model, not a curated record
UUGUGAUGUCAUCCUCCUAUCGGUUUCUUGCGGCGCCGCAUGAAUUCAAACAAGCAUUUUAACGAUCACCUGUGUUUGCACUCGCUUCGCUGUCGACGCAGAUUCAUGUGAUUUUCGUCAAAAUGUGGAGAAAGGAAAACCAACAACCAAGUGCAGGCUCUUUCUCCAUGUUUCCGGUCAAUCAAAGGAAGAGGAGCCGUCUGCCCUUGACAUCUAAUCCCUCUGAGAAUGAAAGUUUUUCUCCCAACUACUACAGUGAGAUGGAAACAUCCUCAUUUUAUGGUCCACCCAUGAAGUUGAGGAAUUUGACAGAGCAGUUUCCAAAAGACUGAAAAAAGAAGGAAAUGUCACCUGCAGGAACAAGAUGAUGUUCAGGUGAUUGUUCAAUAAA